This 438-nucleotide ribosomal RNA is filed under the name uncultured bacterium. Its description in RNAcentral is "bacterial SSU rRNA". It matches the Rfam family "Bacterial small subunit ribosomal RNA", at positions 21 to 507 of the family's 1533-position model. The record is from RNAcentral.
UGCUCAGAACGAACGCUGGCGGCAGGCCUAACACAUGCAAGUCGAGCGCGCCUUCGGGUGAGCGGCGGACGGGUUAGUAACGCGUGGGAACGUGCCCUUCUCUACGGAAUAGCCUCUGGAAACGGAGAGUAAUACCGUAUACGCCCUUUGGGGGAAAGAUUUAUCGGAGAAGGAUCGGCCCGCGUUAGAUUAGGUAGUUGGUGGGGUAACGGCCUACCAAGCCUACGAUCUAUAGCUGGUUUUAGAGGAUGAUCAGCAACACUGGGACUGAGACACGGCCCAGACUCCUACGGGAGGCAGCAGUGGGGAAUCUUAGACAAUGGGGGCAACCCUGAUCUAGCCAUGCCGCGUGAGUGAUGAAGGCCUUAGGGUCGUAAAGCUCUUUCGCCUGUGAUGAUAAUGACAGUAGCAGGUAAAGAAACCCCGGCUAACUCCGUG